This 550-nucleotide ribosomal RNA is filed under the name uncultured bacterium. RNAcentral describes it as "bacterial SSU rRNA". It matches the Rfam family "Bacterial small subunit ribosomal RNA", at positions 355 to 896 of the family's 1533-position model. The record is from RNAcentral.
UAGGGAAUCUUCGGCAAUGGGGGCAACCCUGACCGAGCAACGCCGCGUGAGUGAAGAAGGUUUUCGGAUCGUAAAGCUCUGUUGUUAGAGAAGAAUGAUGGUGGGAGUGGAAAAUCCACCAAGUGACGGUAACUAACCAGAAAGGGACGGCUAACUACGUGCCAGCAGCCGCGGUAAUACGUAGGUCCCGAGCGUUGUCCGGAUUUAUUGGGCGUAAAGCGAGCGCAGGCGGUUUUUUAAGUCUGAAGUUAAAGGCAUUGGCUCAACCAAUGUACGCUUUGGAAACUGGAGAACUUGAGUGCAGAAGGGGAGAGUGGAAUUCCAUGUGUAGCGGUGAAAUGCGUAGAUAUAUGGAGGAACACCGGUGGCGAAAGCGGCUCUCUGGUCUGUAACUGACGCUGAGGCUCGAAAGCGUGGGGAGCAAACAAGAUUAGAUACCCUGGUAGUCCACGCCGUAAACGAUGAGUGCUAGGUGUUAGGCCCUUUCCGGGGCUUAGUGCCGGAGCUAACGCAUUAAGCACUCCGCCUGGGGAGUACGACCGCAAGGUUG